RNAcentral lists this ribosomal RNA (497 nucleotides) under uncultured bacterium. Its description in RNAcentral is "partial 16S ribosomal RNA". It matches the Rfam family "Bacterial small subunit ribosomal RNA", at positions 28 to 507 of the family's 1533-position model. The record is from RNAcentral.
GAUGAACGCUGGCGGCGUGCCUAAUACAUGCAAGUCGAGCGAACAGAUAAGGAGCUUGCUCCUUUGACGUUAGCGGCGGACGGGUGAGUAACACGUGGAUAACCUACCUAUAAGACUGGGAUAACUUCGGGAAACCGGAGCUAAUACCGGAUAACAUAUUGAACCGCAUGGUUCAAUAGUGAAAGGCGGCUUUGCUGUCACUUAUAGAUGGAUCCGCGCCGUAUUAGCUAGUUGGUAAGGUAACGGCUUACCAAGGCAACGAUACGUAGCCGACCUGAGAGGGUGAUCGGCCACACUGGAACUGAGACACGGUCCAGACUCCUACGGGAGGGAGCAGUAGGGAAUCGUACGCAAUGGGCGAAAGCCUGACGGAGCAACGCCGCGUGAGUGAUGAAGGUCUUCGGAUCGUAAAACUCUGUUAUCAGGGAAGAACAAAUGUGUAAGUAACUGUGCACAUCUUGACGGUACCUGAUCAGAAAGCCACGGCUAACUACGUG